AUUGAACGCUGGCGGCAUGCCUUACACAUGCAAGUCGAACGGCAGCAUGAGCUAGCUUGCUCGCUUGCUGGCGCGUGGCGCGCGUGUGUGUCAUACAUCUGACCUUGCUCUGUGGCGGGGGAUAACUAGUCGAAAGAUUAGUUAUUCCCGCAUACGUCUUGAGGGUGAUAGUGCGGUACUGCAAGACGGCUUUCUUUAGACGUGUCCGGUGCCCGAUUAGCUAGUUGGUGGGGUAAAGGCUUACCAAGGCGACGAUCAGUAGCGGGUCUGAGAGGACGAUCAGCCACACUGGAACUGAGACACGGCCCAGACUCCUACGGGAGGCAGCAGUGGGGAAUUUUGGGCAAUGGGGGCAACCCUGAUCGAGCAAUGCCGCGUGUGUGAAGAAGGCCUUCGGGUUGUAAAGCACUGUUGUCAGGAAAGAAAACGCACUUACUAAUAUUAGGAGGGGAUGACGGUACCGGAAGAAUAAGGACCGGCUAACUACGUG
RNAcentral lists this ribosomal RNA (490 nucleotides) under uncultured bacterium. Its description in RNAcentral is "partial 16S ribosomal RNA". It matches the Rfam family "Bacterial small subunit ribosomal RNA", at positions 30 to 507 of the family's 1533-position model. The record is from RNAcentral.